UACAGGGGGGGCAAGCGUUGUUCGGAAUUACUGGGCGUAAAGGGCCAGUAGGCGGCCAACUAAGUCCGACGUGAAAUCCCCAGGCUUAACCUGGGAACUGCGUCGGAUACUGGAUGGCUUGAAUUCGGGAGAGGGAUGCAGAAUUCCAGGUGUAGCGGUGAAAUGCGUAGAUAUCUGGAGGAAUACCGGUGGCGAAGGCGCACAUCUGGCCCGAUACUGACGCUGAAGCGCGAAAGCUAGGGGAGCAAACGGG
Molecule: ribosomal RNA, 253 nt
Filed under: uncultured bacterium
Lineage: Bacteria
Description: partial 16S ribosomal RNA
Rfam family: Bacterial small subunit ribosomal RNA
Source: RNAcentral